Molecule: ribosomal RNA, 253 nt
Filed under: uncultured bacterium
Lineage: Bacteria
Description: partial 16S ribosomal RNA
Rfam family: Bacterial small subunit ribosomal RNA
Source: RNAcentral
UACGUAGGGUGCAAGCAUUAAUCGGAUUUAUUGGGCGUAAAGGGCGCGUAGGCGGGGAGGCCAGUCAGAUGUGAAAUCCCGGAGCUCAACUCCGGAACAGCAUUUGAAACUACCUCUCUCGAGGGUAGGCGGAGAAAACGGAAUUCCACAAGUAGCGGUGAAAUGCGUAGAUAUGUGGAAGAACACCAGUGGCGAAGGCGGUUUUCUAGCUUAUACCUGACGCUGAGGCGCGAAAGCAAGGGGAGCAAACAGG